CAAUAGCGUAUAUUAAAGUUGUUGCGGUUAAAAAGCUCGUAGUUGGAUUUCUGCUGAGGACGAUCGGUCCGCCCUCUGGGUGAGUAUCUGGCUCGGCCUUGGCAUCUUCUUGGAGAACGUUACUGCACUUGACUGUGUGGUGCGGUAUCCAGGACUUUUACUUUGAGGAAAUUAGAGUGUUUCAAGCAGGCGCACGCCUUGAAUACAUUAGCAUGGAAUAAUAAGAUAGGACCUUGGCUCUAUUUUGUUGGUUUCUAGAGCUGAGGUAAUGAUUAAUAGGGAUAGUUGGGGGCAUUCGUAUUUAACUGUCAGAGGCGAAAUUCUUGGAUUUGUUAAAGACGGACUACUGCGAAAGCAUUUGCCAAGGAUGUUUUCAUUGA
This 380-nucleotide ribosomal RNA is filed under the name uncultured eukaryote. RNAcentral's name for it is "partial 18S ribosomal RNA". It matches the Rfam family "Eukaryotic small subunit ribosomal RNA", at positions 592 to 976 of the family's 1831-position model. The record is from RNAcentral.